CUAUUAAGCCUUAAACGUGUCUGGAAGAGAACAUUUAGCCAAAUGUGGAAUAACAUGCAAGUUGAGUAUUAAAGUGGAGUGCUGACAGGAUCAAGAUAUAAUGAGCUGUUUGUGUGUGAGAUGAUCCUGUUUUCUUUCCUGAGAGCGAUAACAUCCACGGCAAUGGGUGAAAACAACAUCAGGGCGAUGCUGACGUGUUCAGGGAGUCAGAUUCUCACCAGCUCCUUCCUGUUUUUCCCAACGAGGUCUUUGUUUGGCCGCACGACUCCCUGCUCCACGGUUCUCAAGGGAAUGAU
Triplophysa dalaica is the source of this 296-nucleotide long non-coding RNA. RefSeq lists it as uncharacterized. The transcript has 3 exons. The record is from RefSeq and is a predicted model, not a curated record. NCBI's taxonomy places the organism in Eukaryota, Metazoa, Chordata, Actinopteri, Cypriniformes, Nemacheilidae.